GGGCGGGUGGCGAAACCGGAAAACGCGGCGGACUUAAACUCCGCUGGCCCGAGGGGGCCUUGUGGGUUCGAAUCCCACCCCGCCCACCA
Molecule: transfer RNA, 89 nt
Filed under: Pseudomonadota bacterium
Lineage: Bacteria; Pseudomonadati; Pseudomonadota
Also listed under: 1 other name
Description: tRNA-Leu
Rfam family: tRNA
About the family: Transfer RNA (tRNA) molecules are approximately 80 nucleotides in length. Their secondary structure includes four short double-helical elements and three loops (D, anti-codon, and T loops).
Source: RNAcentral